RNAcentral lists this ribosomal RNA (2876 nucleotides) under Stenotrophomonas maltophilia. RNAcentral describes it as "bacterial LSU rRNA". It matches the Rfam family "Bacterial large subunit ribosomal RNA". Lineage: Bacteria; Pseudomonadati; Pseudomonadota; Gammaproteobacteria; Lysobacterales; Lysobacteraceae. The record is from RNAcentral.
UCAAGCGAAUAAGCGCACACGGUGGAUGCCUUGGCGGUCAGAGGCGAUGAAGGACGUGGCAGCCUGCGAAAAGUAUCGGGGAGCUGGCAACAAGCUUUGAUCCGGUAAUGUCCGAAUGGGGAAACCCACCCGCUUGCGGGUAUCCUGCAGUGAAUACAUAGCUGCUGGAAGCGAACCUGGUGAACUGAAAUAUCUAAGUAACCAGAGGAAAAGAAAUCAACCGAGAUUCCGUAAGUAGCGACGAGCGAACGCGGACUAGCCCUUAAGCUGGAUUGGUUCUAGGAAAACGCUCUGGAAAGAGCGGCCAUAGAAGGUGAUAGCCCUGUAUCUGAAAGGGCCAUUCCAGUGAAGACGAGUAGGGCGGGGCACGUGAAACCCUGUCUGAACAUGGGGGGACCAUCCUCCAAGGCUAAAUACUACUGACCGACCGAUAGUGAACCAGUACCGUGAGGGAAAGGCGAAAAGAACCCCGGAGAGGGGAGUGAAAUAGAACCUGAAACCGUGUGCGUACAAGCAGUAGGAGCUCCGCAAGGAGUGACUGCGUACCUUUUGUAUAAUGGGUCAGCGACUUACUGUUCGUGGCAAGCUUAACCGUAUAGGGGAGGCGAAGGGAAACCGAGUCUGAUAAGGGCGCAUAGUCGCGGGCAGUAGACCCGAAACCGGGUGAUCUAGUCAUGCCCAGGGUGAAGGUGCGGUAACACGCACUGGAGGCCCGAACCCACUCCCGUUGCAAAGGUAGGGGAUGAGGUGUGAUUAGGAGUGAAAAGCUAAUCGAACCCGGAGAUAGCUGGUUCUCCUCGAAAGCUAUUUAGGUAGCGCCUCAUAUGUAUCCUCUCGGGGGUAGAGCACUGUUAUGGCUAGGGGGUCAUCGCGACUUACCAAACCAUUGCAAACUCCGAAUACCGAGACGGACUGUAUGGGAGACACACGGCGGGUGCUAACGUCCGUCGUGAAAAGGGAAACAACCCAGACCCACAGCUAAGGUCCCAAAUUCACUGCUAAGUGGAAAACCAUGUGGAAAGGCACAGACAGCCAGGAGGUUGGCUUAGAAGCAGCCACCCUUUAAAGAAAGCGUAAUAGCUCACUGGUCGAGUCGGUCUGCGGGGAAGAUUUAACGGGGCUAAGCACAGAACCGAAGCUUGGGGUGCAUACUUUGUAUGCGCGGUAGAGGAGCGUUCCGUAAGCCGUUGAAGGUGGAUUGAGAAGUCUGCUGGAGGUAUCGGAAGUGCGAAUGCUGACAUGAGUAACGAUAAUGCGGGUGAAAAACCCGCACGCCGAAAGCCCAAGGUUUCCUUGCGCAACGUUAAUCGGCGCAGGGUGAGUCGGCCCCUAAGGCGAGGACGAAAGUCGUAGUCGAUGGGAAGCAGGUUAAUAUUCCUGCACCUCGCGUAAGUGCGAUGGAGGGACGGAGAAGGUUAGGUGUACCAGGCGUUGGUUGUCCUGGGGAAAGGCGGUAGGUUUGGAUCUUUGGCAAAUCCGGGAUCCUCUAAGACCGAGCACCGAGACGAGCCUUUAUGGCGAAGUCACUGAUACCACGCUUCCAGGAAAAGCUCCUAAGCUUCAGCUUACGCAGACCGUACCGUAAACCGACACAGGUGGGUAGGAUGAGAAUUCUCAGGCGCUUGAGAGAACUCGGGUGAAGGAACUAGGCAACAUGGCACCGUAACUUCGGGAGAAGGUGCACCCUUUUUGGUGGCUCGUGCGAGCUAUAGCUGAAGAGGGUCGCAGUAACCAGGCCGCUGCGACUGUUUAUCAAAAACACAGCACUCUGCAAACACGAAAGUGGACGUAUAGGGUGUGACGCCUGCCCGGUGCUGGAAGGUUAAUUGAUGGGGUCAGCCGCAAGGCGAAGCUCUUGAUCGAAGCCCCAGUAAACGGCGGCCGUAACUAUAACGGUCCUAAGGUAGCGAAAUUCCUUGUCGGGUAAGUUCCGACCUGCACGAAUGGCGUAACGACAGCGGCGCUGUCUCCACCCGAGACUCAGUGAAAUUGAAAUCGCUGUGAAGAUGCAGCGUUCCCGUGGCAAGACGGAAAGACCCCGUGAACCUUUACUAUAGCUUUACACUGAACGUUGAGUUCGUCUGUGUAGGAUAGGUGGGAGGCUAUGAAACCAUGGCGCUAGCUGUGGUGGAGCCAUCCUUGAAAUACCACCCUGUCGUGCUUGACGUUCUAACCUGGGCCCAUUAUCUGGGUCGGGGACCGUGUAUGGUGGGUAGUUUGACUGGGGCGGUCUCCUCCUAAAGAGUAACGGAGGAGCUCGAAGGUACGCUCAGCGCGGUCGGACAUCGCGCACUGUGUGCAAAGGCAUAAGCGUGCUUGACUGCAAGAUCGACGGAUCAAGCAGGUAGGAAACUAGGACUUAGUGAUCCGGUGGUUCUGUAUGGAAGGGCCAUCGCUCAACGGAUAAAAGGUACUCCGGGGAUAACAGGCUGAUACCGCCCAAGAGUUCAUAUCGACGGCGGUGUUUGGCACCUCGAUGUCGGCUCAUCACAUCCUGGGGCUGUAGUCGGUCCCAAGGGUAUGGCUGUUCGCCAUUUAAAGUGGUACGCGAGCUGGGUUCAGAACGUCGUGAGACAGUUCGGUCCCUAUCUGCCAUGGGCGUUGGAGAUUUGAGAGGGGCUGCUCCUAGUACGAGAGGACCGGAGUGGACGAACCUCUGGUGUUCCGGUUGUCACGCCAGUGGCAUUGCCGGGUAGCUAUGUUCGGAAGCGAUAACCGCUGAAAGCAUCUAAGCGGGAAGCGCGCCUCAAGAUGAGAUCUCCCGGGGCACAAGCCCCCUGAAGGAACCAUGUAGACUACGUGGUUGAUAGGUCAGGUGUGUAAGUACAGCAAUGUAUUGAGCUAACUGAUACUAAUGAUCCGUGCGGCUUGACCAU